RNAcentral lists this ribosomal RNA (465 nucleotides) under uncultured bacterium. RNAcentral describes it as "bacterial SSU rRNA". It matches the Rfam family "Bacterial small subunit ribosomal RNA", at positions 338 to 795 of the family's 1533-position model. The record is from RNAcentral.
CCUACGGGAUGCACCAGUGGGGAAUAUUGCACAAUGGGCGCAAGCCUGAUGCAGCCAUGCCGCGUGUGUGAAGAAGGCCUUCGGGUUGUAAAGCACUUUCAGCGGGGAGGAAGGCGGUGAGGUUAAUAACCUCAUCGAUUGACGUUACCCGCAGAAGAAGGACCGGCUAACUCCGUGCCAGCAGCCGCGGCAAUACGGAGGGUGCAAGCGUUAAUCGGAAUUACUGGGCGUAAAGCGCACGCAUGCGGUCUGUCAAGUCGGAUGUGAAAUCCCCGGGCUCAACCUGGGAACUGCAUUCGAAACUGGCAGGCUAGAGUCUUGUAGAGGGGGGUAGAAUUCCAGGUGUAGCGGUGAAAUGCGUAGAGAUCUGGAGGAAUACCGAUGGCAAAGGCGGCCCCCUGGACAAAGACUGACGCUCAGGUGCGAAAGCGUGGGGAGCAAACAGGAUUAGAUACCCCAGUAGUC